Molecule: non-coding RNA, 447 nt
Organism: Ceratotherium simum simum (southern white rhinoceros)
Lineage: Eukaryota; Metazoa; Chordata; Mammalia; Perissodactyla; Rhinocerotidae
Source: RefSeq, a predicted model, not a curated record
CUCUCUGUGUACAAUUUCACAACAAAGAAGAGAAGCGUCAACAGCUGGCACGAUAGGCAGAGGGGUCUCCCCCUGCAUGAAGAUCCAAUUUCCUCCCGGGUGGUGGAUGAAGCUAAGAAGAUAAAAAAUGACCUUUCACCUUCGGGAACAGUAAUAGCGACCUCUCUGGAGCCUCUGUGGAGGGUGCAUCAGGAAGAAACAAGGCCAGACCACCAGUUGGCAGACUGUUGAAGUCAGGAAGUUGUCUAAGCCAGAAGCGAUGAUGCCAUGAACCAGGCCUCUUACGGAGUUGUGAUGUGCCCUGGAAUGCCUCAUCUCAGGGAAGGCAAGAGGAGUCUCUCUUAAGCAAGUGUGGUGUCUGCUUCUAGUCCGGUUUAUGGCAGAGCUGAGAACUGUCUUUGAAAUUAACAACAGAUGUGCAUAAAUCUUCAGUUACCUAGCAACUAA